Molecule: unclassified non-coding RNA, 329 nt
Filed under: soil metagenome
Description: partial contains 5.8S ribosomal RNA, internal transcribed spacer 2, and large subunit ribosomal RNA
Rfam family: 5.8S ribosomal RNA (bases 1-120)
Source: RNAcentral
GAUGAAGAACGCAGCGAAAUGCGAUACGUAAUGUGAAUUGCAGAAUUCAGUGAAUCAUCGAAUCUUUGAACGCACAUUGCGCCCUCUGGUAUUCCGGGGGGCAUGCCUGUUCGAGCGUCAUUAUAACCACUCAAGCUCUCGCUUGGUAUUGGGGUUCGCGGUUCCGCGGCCCCUAAAAUCAGUGGCGGUGCCUGUCGGCUCUACGCGUAGUAAUACUCCUCGCGAUUGAGUCCGGUAGGUCUACUUGCCAGCAACCCCCAAUUUUUACAGGUUGACCUCGGAUCAGGUAGGGAUACCCGCUGAACUUAAGCAUAUCAAUAAGCGGAGGA